UGAGGAAUAUUGGUCAAUGGACGCAAGUCUGAACCAGCCAAGUAGCGUGCAGGAUGACGGCCCUAUGGGUUGUAAACUGCUUUUAUAUGGGGAUAACGUGGGGAACGUGUUCCCUUUUGCAGGUACCAUAUGAAUAAGGACCGGCUAAUUCCGUUCCAGCAGCCGCGGUAAUACGGAAGGUUCGGGCGUUAUCCGGAUUUAUUGGGUUUAAAGGGAGCGUAGGCCGUUUGGUAAGCGUGUUGUGAAAUGUAGGAGCUCAACUUCUAGAUUGCAGCGCGAACUGUCAGACUGGAGUGCGCGCAACGUAGGCGGAAUUCAUGGUGUAGCGGUGAAAUGCUUAGAUAUCAUGAAGAAUUCCGAUUGCGAAGGCAGCUUACGGGAGCGCAACAGACGCAGAAGCUCGAAGGUGCGGGUAUCGAACAGG
This 424-nucleotide ribosomal RNA is filed under the name Verrucomicrobiota bacterium. RNAcentral's name for it is "Verrucomicrobia bacterium partial 16S ribosomal RNA". It matches the Rfam family "Bacterial small subunit ribosomal RNA", at positions 355 to 776 of the family's 1533-position model. The record is from RNAcentral. Lineage: Bacteria; Pseudomonadati; Verrucomicrobiota.